Molecule: ribosomal RNA, 253 nt
Filed under: uncultured bacterium
Lineage: Bacteria
Description: partial 16S ribosomal RNA
Rfam family: Bacterial small subunit ribosomal RNA
Source: RNAcentral
UACGAAGGGGGCUAGCGUUGCUCGGAAUCACUGGGCGUAAAGGGUGCGUAGGUGGGUCUUUAAGUCAGGGGUGAAAUCCUGGAGCUCAACUCCAGAACUGCCUUUGAUACUGAAGAUCUUGAGUUCGGGAGAGGUGAGUGGAACUGCGAGUGUAGAGGUGAAAUUCGUAGAUAUUCGGAAGAACACCAGUGGCGAAGGCGACUUACUGGACACAUAUUGACGCUGAGGUGCGAAAGCGUGGGGAGCAAACAGG